UGCAUUCACCUACAGGAGCCAGCCCA
This 26-nucleotide non-coding RNA is filed under the name Mus musculus (house mouse). Lineage: Eukaryota; Metazoa; Chordata; Mammalia; Rodentia; Muridae. The record is from RNAcentral.